This 396-nucleotide ribosomal RNA is filed under the name Triticum aestivum (bread wheat). RNAcentral describes it as "partial small subunit ribosomal RNA". Lineage: Eukaryota; Viridiplantae; Streptophyta; Magnoliopsida; Poales; Poaceae. The record is from RNAcentral.
AUGCCAGGCACCGGAGGGGCGACCGUCCUGGACGACCUUCCCGAGUGGAUCGUUGUCGAAGAGAUCCUCGUCCGCUUGCCGCCCAAGGACAUCCUCCGCUGCCGCGCUGUCCGCAAGUGGUGGCACAACGCCACCUCCACGGACAAGUUCAUGCUGGAUCACCAGUUCACCACCGCUGCCAGCCCUUGCUCCAGAUUCUCAGCUGCACCAUUGACCCGCAGAAAGCCUGCCUCUUGUUUUCCUUUGAGGCCUGCGCAGGCCAGCAAAAGCUCUGCCCUCUCGUCCGGACCUACGACUAUGGUAAACUCGAGGCUGCCCAUGAUGGCCUCCUCAUCGUCUCCCAUGCGUAUGAGUUCUUCAUCUGCAACCCAGUCACUCGCAAGUGUGCUCCUCUAG